GUGGCUUGGGCACAGCCGCCUGAGAGCUGCGGCUGGGCGAGGGGCGAGCAGGAGAGGCCGGGCUCGGUCGGAGGAAGGUGUGAGCUAGGCUAGAGCAGAGGGAGAAAAAAACCAAGCCCAAAAACAAAACCAAAAAAUAUUAAUAAUAAGGCUGCCCCUUGAGCUGAUAUGUUGAGAGGAGGCUGGAGCUGGAAGAGCAACUGUGCCUCCUGUUCAGGAAGUUGUUCACUGCUGCAAACCUCCCAAGGAAGCCUGUGUACAGUUUUUGAUUGACUCAUGGCUACUAUAACUAUUAUUUAUUAACCAGCUCUUUGGGUGGCAAACCAGUUAUCCUCUUUGGGAACUCACAUGCUGAGGUUCUGGAGCUCAUGGACAUGGAGCUACAUGUGUGGACCAUGUGAAUUACUGAUUACAUGGCAGGAACAAAUUCUCCUCUAGCCUUGUUGGCUGUUCAACUUCUUGUCUGCUGUAAGGAUGAAGAACUGUCAGGUUCCAACUCCAAAAAUCCUUCCUGCUUUCUCCUGUGUUCUGCAACCCACGCUGGCCUAGUUUUGAAGCAUGCUGGAUAAUGAAUUCUGAAGUGAGGCAUGGAUACAAACAUCUCUUCAUACUAGCAGCCGAAGCCUACAUCAACCUGGAAAAGCAUGUAUGUAAGUGUGAAUCAAGACAGAAGAAAGGGCAGGUAGAGGCUCCCAGUAAGCAGGAGGAGUGAUGUGCCUGACAGAGCUGAAGCCAGCUGGACUUCAAAUGUGCCAAAAAGCCUUCCUGAACUGCAACCUUACAGCUGCUGUACCAAAACAGUCUCAGAAGAGGAUCUCACCAUCCAAUGCUUUAGACUACUCUCUCUGCACCAAAACAACCUGAGUUUGAGAUGAGUCCAGGCUAAAAACACAUGUAUACUUGAGGUUACUGUUAUGGACCCCUUGUUUCUGUAUCUUGUGUAAUUUCGCAUUUUUUUAACAAGUAGGAGCACUACCCCACGUGUGUGAUGUGAAGGUGUGUGUCAAUUAAAGGUGUGAAAAUAUUUACAGCAAAAGGCUCUGUCUAGAGUAAUAACAGAGAAGCCAAGAGGCUUGUGGUUCAGUAACAAGUUCAUUCAGAAAUUCACAAGGCAGUGUGACAGCUGGAGUGAGGAAAGACUUGUGGCAAUAUUUCUUUAAGAAUUGCAUGAUGAAAAAAUAAUAAUAAACGUUAACAAUGUUUUUUGUUAUUUCCUCCCCUUUUUUUUUUCUUCUUUCCCAUGAUAUAAACAAUGGUACUCUGGUCAUAAGCCAAAACCUGACAAAGAUCCAAGGUUGAAAGGGUUUUCUUUGAGCCUGUCUUCCUGGUAUAAUUAUUGUAGAUUCAGAGGAACCAGAUCUGGAGUGUUGUAAAACUCAACACAAUGAACUUGACAGACAGCCAGAUUUCUGUUUUCAGCCAGUUUAGGGUUACUAUAAUCUCAUUAUUAUGCUUGAAAGACGACAAGUAAUAGAAUCUCAGGUAGCCGUUCUGUCGUUACUCAGCCGCAUCUUCUCUUUUAUGCCGAUUUCCCUUGAUUACCUGAACUAGUGAGGCUCGGUUUUCAACCACUUAUCUUCCAGAAAUAAUCAUCUGAUCAGCCUUACAAGGUUCUCACUGCACUCAACGGUUUUAAUGGGUCAAGCGUUAAAUUAACCCUUUAACCAUAUCCCAGGAGAAUACAAAACUUAUUAAAAAACAAUUUACUAUUCAGUCAUUGUUAACUUUGCAAAGGAGAAGGAGUUCCUUAGCCAGCUUUGCUUGUUCCCUCCACUCAUGUCCUGUUUUACUGAAUCUUUGCUCUUACUAACACAUAAAAUCUUUUUAAAGCUUCUGCCUAAGGAAACAUUCUUUUGGUUUCUUACUUUUACAGAAGCAUAAAAUGAAACCACAGCAAAAGCUGAGUAUCUUACAUUCUAUUUUAACAAUUUUUUACAAAGGUUAAUUAAUUUUUCCAUGUAUGGAAAACCACAUCUGCAAAAAUGUAACUCAUGUCAGUCGGUGUUGUAUCACAUGCAGAAUUAUAAGGCUUGUGAAACUCUUAUGGACUUGCCUAUAUGAUGGAAAGGGUUUGCAACACUGUCUGCUAUGGGAGAAUGUUUGCGCAAGCCUCAGCUACAGCAGGGAAGCAGCCGAGCAAGAGGUCACUUACCCCUGUGGAUCUGCGUUGGUGUGCAGAGCAGUCAGCAGCUGCGCUGCCGCUUCCAGCCUCCCCAGAAAACUCUGGAGUCCCCUCUGGGAGGAGGCUGGAGGCAGGAGCCCAAGCAAUGCUCCCUGGCUUCAUGCUUUCAUAGGACAGUUCACAGCCAGCAGAAAUGUGCCUUCUGCCCUGACUCAUCCCAAAGUUGCUGAAACCAAGGGAGGUGUGAGAAGAUGUGUCUCUGGAGGAGCAGCCUUGGCAAAGCUGCUUCUAGGAGUAGGAGCAGCUGCACCGUCUGGGAAAGCAGCUGCACCAUCAGGAGGGGCUUGAACAAGAGGCAGAUGGCAUCACUGACUGCAGUACCAGACCUUAGUUGUUCUUGUGAAGCUAAGGCCUCCUUCACACAAGAACUCCUUUGGCGGAGCAGCCUAUCCAUGCCACAAAGGGACAAACUCUCCCUUUCAGCCAUACUCCAACAGCAAAAAAGAGACAAGAAAAGAAGUAUUUCAUGUAAACCAAGGCCAAAAAGAGCCUCAAUGUCCUAGCUGUUAUGAAUGAAGGGUGUGAUCCAUCCCAGUGCUGCUGCUUACAAAAAUAACAUCGUAGAGAUGCCCAGGGUGUAGAUCUAGCCUUGUUAUCUUCAACCAAUUCUUGCUCACACAAAAUUCUCACUGCUGUUCACAGGGGUUUUGCCAGGAAAUGACUUGAAUGAAAGAUGGAAAUUUUUACAGAGAAAUCUCAUAUGACACUUUCAUCACCUUUAGUUUGUACAAUUGCAUCUGAUCUUUGAUGACAACUGGAACUGCUUAAGGGGCUUUACUAGCUCAGGUUAGUAAUCAUCAAACGAAUAUUAGGACUAUAAAAUCUACUGUGCAUGUUAGUCAUUAUGUGUCUGUACAAAAAUAAUGCGUUGGUUUCAGUCUGUUCAUUGUAUGUUUGUCUUUUACAGUGGAGGAAUGGAAAAAAAGAAGAAACAGUGCUUAAAUGUUAGAUGGUGUGAUGAUUUUGAGUAUAUGGGCUUUUAAGAGGAAAGUGGGAUGAAUCCUCAGGCCCUUACACAGAAGUGGGAAGAGCCAGUGCCAGGAUAUUGAGCACAGCCAGCCUGCUGGUCAGGAUACUGUUGAUAGUUAGCCAAGAGAAACACAUAAAAGAGGAACAUACCUUGGGGCUCAGCCCUCUGUAAACACAUAAAAGCUUUAGGAUCUUACUGGUGACUGCAGUGAAGGUGUCUUGUUGCUUCCAAGUCAUCCAAUGGUAAGGCAUAUUUCUUAUAAAAGUAUUAUUCUAGUCUAUUUAAGCUUAGUGCUACAUCUUUUCAAAAUUUUGACAAAUGUUUGAGACCAACCAAUAUUGUACAUAUAUUGAAGGCAAUUAUGGAGGCAAUUAAAGAGAUAUUCUGUAUGCCUAAAGUAGCUCUAAACAUUUCCAUUUAAGCAACUGAAUCCCGCACCUGGACUUUUUUGCCUUUGAUACUUGAGCCUCAAUUUUUUUUAAUAUUAAAUACCUUUUAUAUAUUUUUCCAUCAGUUUCCAUUUGAGAAAAAGUAGUUAUUGUUUCCUCUUCAUCAGUCGUAGUGCUUCAGAUCCUCCCAUAAAAAAAUGUACACAUUCCUGUAAGAUCAGCAGGGAGUAGAAGCUUUUAUGGAGUCCAUGUCAGUAUAUGAGAAAAGAGGAAAAGAUUACUGUGAAAUUUAAACUAAUUCUGAAGGCAGAUAAAAUACACUUAAAUUUAAGAGAAAAAACAGAUAAUUUCUAUUUUCGCUCUUGGACAUACGAAUGAUUAAGAAAGAGAAAGGGCAUAUUCAGGAAAAAAUAAAACAAAUGAGGAAAAUACUGCAGUUUACAGGCCUUUAUCAAAGCCUGUUUCUGAACAGUCGCUCUUCAGUCUAAUGGGUUGAUACACAAAAAUCACAUCCAACUUCUCCUCAAGGGGCUGAUGUCUUUCCAGGCUUUCUGGAAGAUUUUUGGAGCAUAUUAUGUAGUGUGUGUGGCCUAUUCAUCUGACCCAAUCUGGACAUUUGCAGUUCUUAACCCAAGGCUCCCUUUGUAGGCAGUGGAGAAAAAUAGACACAUCUAGGGAGCAAUUUCUCUGACCUGUUUUACACAUGUAUUCUAAAGAUGUACUUCAAAGAUGAUGUGUGCCCAUGAAGAAUGUGGAAAAGGGAGCAAGUCAUGUUGUUCGUAACAUGUGAAUUCUAUUCAAGGGGCCCUUUCAAUGUCAGAGAGUUGGCUUUUCAGUAAAAUUUCUAAGUAGAACUAAUGCUCUGCUGGGAGAUCAUUGAGUCCACCCAGUCCUCCCAAAGGCAUAAAACUCCUGAAACUUGUCAUAUAUAAAAUUCUUCUCUAAAGACUACCACAAUAGAGCUCUGAGACAACUUUAAUUUAAAGACCUACAUCUUAUUUGCUUUAGCUUGAACAAGUUUCCUGUAAUUUAAGGCAAAUGGAUUACAGUUAAAGGACAAAAGAUGGCAGCAAACUGUACCCAAAAGCUAUAUUAAAAAGUGCUUCUGAAGAAGGGGUGAUUUUCUAGUAUACAAAGUAGCUACAUUAUAACACCUUACAUGAAAUCUGUGUGAAAUCUUAGCAGUGUUACAAUGUUAUCAAAAUAAAAAUAUACUUCAGUAGA
This is a long non-coding RNA of Strigops habroptila (Kakapo), 4765 nucleotides long. Ensembl lists it as uncharacterized. The record is from Ensembl. Lineage: Eukaryota; Metazoa; Chordata; Aves; Psittaciformes; Psittacidae.